GUUACUUUGGUCUAAUGGUAAAGACGGCUGGGUCCAAUCUGCAGAUCUGGGUUCGAUUCCUAGAAGUAACA
Molecule: transfer RNA, 71 nt
Filed under: Tetrahymena thermophila SB210
Lineage: Eukaryota; Ciliophora; Oligohymenophorea; Hymenostomatida; Tetrahymenidae
Description: Tetrahymena thermophila tRNA-Undet for anticodon ???
Rfam family: tRNA
About the family: Transfer RNA (tRNA) molecules are approximately 80 nucleotides in length. Their secondary structure includes four short double-helical elements and three loops (D, anti-codon, and T loops).
Source: Rfam by way of RNAcentral